UAGGACGAGAAGACCCUAUAGAAUUUUAUAUAUUAAAUAAAUUAUUAAAAUUUAUAUUAAAAUAUUUUAUUGGGAGGAUAUUUAAAUUAGAAAAACUUUAAUUAUAUAAUUACAUUGAUUAUUGAUUUAAAAUGAAUAAAUAUAAUUUUAUUAAGAAUUAAUUACCUUAGGGAUAACAGCAUAAUAUUUUUUUGUAGUCCUUAUAUAAAAUAAUGAUUAUGACCUCGAUGUUGGAUUAAGAGACUGAUGGACUGAUGUAGGACGAGAAGACCCUAUAGAA
RNAcentral lists this ribosomal RNA (280 nucleotides) under Hypoponera sp. MI15.05. RNAcentral's name for it is "partial large subunit ribosomal RNA". RNAcentral also lists the same sequence under 1 other name. Lineage: Eukaryota; Metazoa; Arthropoda; Insecta; Hymenoptera; Formicidae. The record is from RNAcentral.